Scylla paramamosain (green mud crab) is the source of this 948-nucleotide long non-coding RNA. RefSeq lists it as uncharacterized. The transcript is spliced from 2 exons. Lineage: Eukaryota; Metazoa; Arthropoda; Malacostraca; Decapoda; Portunidae. The record is from RefSeq and is a predicted model, not a curated record.
CUUAUUUCUGUAGCUUUUGAGUCAAGUUUGCGCACUCGAUCUUCUUCUCUUCUUGUUGGAAAGACUCACUGACUAUUAGAUCCUACUUUCGAGCUCUGGAGUCACGCAUGCACGCUCUUGUUCCUCUAACUGGGAAGACUCACAGACUUACUUAGUUCCGAGGUCUGUAAUCACGCAUGCGCAUUCGUCCUUCUGUCCUGUCCCUCUUGUUCCUACCCAGUGCAUUUGUUUAUCUAGCUAUUUACUCUAUUUUUUUCUUCUUCUAGACCUCCAUUGUUACCUUGACAAAAUAACUGGAGCUUAUUUUGCUACCGGAUAUUUGCUUUUUAUGCGUCUAACCUCUAAGCUUUUGAUUUACGAGGUGCUCAUUUGACCUUUGGAGGCAGCCAGUCAGCGUGCGGCGGCCAGGGUGGUGGCGUUCACGUGUGCUGUGUGUGUGUGAGAGAGGGGGGCGGCAUCUCUGUAUGUGCUUCAUGAUAUGUGAGUGUCGACCAGCUUUCUCCGCCGCCCACCUUGCCUGUCUGCCCGUGUGUAUGUCUGUCUGCCCAUGUGUCUGUUUAUCUGACGCCGCUGCCCUCCCAAGCUGCCCCGCGCCACCAGCCGGUACCGCUUAAGUAAUCAAAUGGAGCCUUGCUUUAUUUUUGUGUUUGUAUUAAUAUGUGCAUUGAUUUCCUUUGAUUUACGACUAAGAAGGUGUGAGAGAUUAUUUAGAUUUUUAUUAUUAUUUUUGUUGUUUUAGAUUAUUUAUUGUUUAUUUAUUUAUUUUUUGUUCUUUUAAAUUUGAGCUAUGCCUAUUUUUUUUUUUUUUACCAUACAUUUUAACGUUACUAUUAUUUCUAUAUGACUUGCCAUUGCAGCGUCAAGUAAGAAUUUUUUGUUUAAUCAGUUCACUUCACCUGGAAUCGUGUUAACUUGCUUUUUUAAGUUAAUAUAUCUUAGUAACUAUAA